CCUACGGGCGGCAGCAGUGAGGAAUAUUGGUCAAUGGACGAGAGUCUGAACCAGCCAAGUAGCGUGAAGGAUGACUGCCCUAUGGGUUGUAAACUUCUUUUAUAAAGGAAUAAAACGAGGCACGUGUGCCUUUUUGCAUGUACUUUAUGAAUAAGGAUCGGCUAACUCCGUGCCAGCAGCCGCGGUAAUACGGAGGAUCCGAGCGUUAUCCGGAUUUAGUGGGUUUAACGGGAGCGUAGAUGGGUUGUUAAGUCAGUUGUGAAAGUUUGCGGCUCAACCGUAAAAUUGCAAUUGAUACUGGCAGUCUUGAGUACAGUUGAGGUAGGCGGAAUUCGUGGUGUAGCGGUGAAAUGCUUAGAGAUCACGAAGAACCCCGAUUGCGAAGGCAGCUUACUAAACUGUGACUGACAUUGAUGCUCGAAAGUGUGGGUAUCAAACAGGAUUAGAGACCCGUGUAGGC
Molecule: ribosomal RNA, 460 nt
Filed under: uncultured bacterium
Lineage: Bacteria
Description: partial 16S ribosomal RNA
Rfam family: Bacterial small subunit ribosomal RNA
Source: RNAcentral